RNAcentral lists this ribosomal RNA (375 nucleotides) under uncultured prokaryote. RNAcentral's name for it is "partial 16S ribosomal RNA". The record is from RNAcentral.
UUGAUUAAGCUCAUUAGGGUUAGCCUCGGUACGGUCAGGCAUCCACGGCGCUUUAAAAUAGUUGUUAUAGAUAUUCAAAUAACCCUGAAACAAAUGCUUAGGGAUUUUAUUGGUAUCAGGGUUAAUCGUGCCAAGAAAAGCGGCAUGGUCAAUAUAACCAGUAGUGUUAACAGUCGGGAGAGGAGUGGCAUUAACACCAUCCUUCAUGAACUUAAUCCACUGUUCACCAUAAACGUGACGAUGAGGGACAUAAAAAGUAAAAAUGUCUACAGUAGAGUCAAUAGCAAGGCCACGACGCAAUGGAGAAAGACGGAGAGCGCCAACGGCGUCCAUCUCGAAGGAGUCGCCAGCGAUAACCGGAGUAGUUGAAAUGGU